RNAcentral lists this long non-coding RNA (1903 nucleotides) under Homo sapiens (human). RNAcentral describes it as "HSALNT0059024". The record is from RNAcentral. Lineage: Eukaryota; Metazoa; Chordata; Mammalia; Primates; Hominidae.
AGAAUCUCAGCUCAGCAUGGCUUCCUCCCUUUUCCAGUUGACUCAGAGAACGGUGCUUUCAAAUUGCCUUUUGGGAUACAUGAAGGGGUGCAUUUAGAGCCAACCUGAAGUGUAACACUCUUUAUUGUUCCUGAGAAACGUGUGCCCAAUUCCCUAGAAAUUUACUGUUUCAAAGAGUCACAAGCUCCUGAUUGCUUCUCAUCAGUCUUGAAGAGAUUAGAUAAGCUUCCUCCCUCUUACAAAAGCUUUUUCUUCAUUCAAAAUUCCUUUGAGAACAAAACAUUGAACCAGAAUUGGAUUUUUAACAAAAUAUUAUAAGAUUGUUGAAAACAUUUUUUUUUCUCCUGAGGAGACCAAACAAUUCAAAAGAUAUAUUAAUGCACAUUCUGAUUUAGGGCUACUAGCAACAUAUUGCAAAGAGUAAGGUGGUGCCAAAGAACAAAGUCCCUUCUGCUAAGCAGGAAAGAUAUUUUUUAACUGCCUUACUUUAGAAGAUUUCAAUGGACUGCUAAGGGCUUUCACACAGAUAAUCUCAGAAGUCAAAGCUCAAGAAGUAGGGGGAAGAAACAACUACUGGAGGACCCUAACAGGUAGCAUUGCUUCUAAUUACCGUAAAAUUGUUAUGUAUACUGAUGCCCCACAUCCCAUUCCCAGACUCAGAUAAUUAUUCUACAGUAAGAGUUGGCUUUAGAAUACUUGUUCAAGUGUGUCAGUAAUAGAAAAUGACCUCUUCAGAAAUGGGGGUGUUUACAUGCAGUGCUCCUAAAGUUGGCACACAUGGAAGGUAAUUCAGGGUUAUGUUUGCAGUGGCACCCAUCAUCAGCAAUGUUUCAACCCCCGUCCAUCUCUCUGUCCUGGUUUUACCAAGGGAUUCACUUCAAAUGUAUUCCUCACUGGUCUUUAGAAAACAGUGCUAGCAAUUCAUAAGUAUGUUUGAAUUUUCAAAGUUUUUCUUUUUCUUUUUCUUUUUUUUUUUUUUUUUGAGAUGGAGUCUUGCUUUGUUGCCCAGGCUGGAGUGCAAUGGUGCGAUCUCAGCUCACUGCAACCUCCGCCUCCUGGGUUUAAGUGAUUCUCCUGCCUCAGCCUCCCAAGUAGCUGGGAUUUCAGGAACCUGCCACCAUCCCCAGCUAAUUUUUUUUAUAUUUUUUAGUAGAGACAGAGUUUCACCAUGUUGGUCAGGCUGGUCUCGAAUUCCUAACUUCAAGUGAUCCAUACGCCUCAGCCUCCCAAAGUGACGGGAUUACAGGCAUGAGCCACCGUGCCUGGCCCCAAAGUUUUGCAUUUUGAUAGCAGCAAUAAGGCUGAGUACCUUCAUAGGCCUUUACCUCUGAUCACACUAUAAGGCUUUAAUUAAGUUAGUCUUAAGAAGAAAAAUGUACACCAAACCCCAAUUAUUAAACAUUGGAAUUAUUCCUUCUUAUUGGUCUAAUAAUUACAAUUUUUUACUUCUCAUUCAUUUUUCAAAGGUUUUUUUCAGUAGAUCUAGGUUAUUGGAACGAUUAUAUGUGAUAUGAUGGGGUAUUGGGCACAGACACAGUAAAUCAAGAUGAUGCAGAAAUGAAAGUCUAAUGCUAAAGAUCUUACCAAUCUUCCCAGAUCCCCAUUUUUCAAAGGAGGAAAUGUAUAGAGGACAUUACAUUUAUUUCCAGCCAUUAUGAUAUAAUUAUAAAGCCAACCUCUCAACGCACUCUCUCUUUUUGGGAAGUCUAUGACAGCAGGUAUUACAAUUCUACUUUGCCAGAUGAGGUGCGUAAACCAUAGAAAACUAACUAGCAUCCAAGAGAAGAACAGACUUGGAUGUGGGUAGAAUAAUAGGAAGAACACUUACAGUCAGAUAUAUCAGAGUAUGAAUGCAGGCUCAAGCUUUUUUCCACUAAAAUGUAUACAGCAAUGUAAUCUCACU